This 68-nucleotide transfer RNA is filed under the name Nyctereutes procyonoides (raccoon dog). It matches the Rfam family "tRNA". Rfam says of the family: Transfer RNA (tRNA) molecules are approximately 80 nucleotides in length. Lineage: Eukaryota; Metazoa; Chordata; Mammalia; Carnivora; Canidae. The record is from Rfam by way of RNAcentral. RNAcentral also lists the same sequence under 1 other name.
GCUAGCUCAGUCAGUAGAGCAUGAGACUUGUGAUCUCAGGUUAGUGGGUUCAAGCCCCACACUGAGCA